GCGACUCUCUGGUCUGUAACUGACGCUGAGGCGCGAAAGCGUGGGGAGCGAACAGGAUUAGAUACCCUGGUAGUCCACGCCGUAAACGAUGAGUGCUAAGUGUUAGAGGGUUUCCGCCCUUUAGUGCUGCAGCUAACGCAUUAAGCACUCCGCCUGGGGAGUACGGUCGCAAGACUGAAACUCAAAGGAAUUGACGGGGGCCCGCACAAGCGGUGGAGCAUGUGGUUUAAUUCGAAGCAACGCGAAGAACCUUACCAGGUCUUGACAUCCUCUGACACUUCUAGAGAUAGAAGGUUCCCCUUCGGGGGACAGAGUGACAGGUGGUGCAUGGUUGUCGUCAGCUCGUGUCGUGAGAUGUUGGGUUAAGUCCCGCAACGAGCGCAACCCUUGAUCUUAGUUGCCAGCAUUAAGUUGGGCACUCUAAGGUGACUGCCGGUGACAAACCGGAGGAAGGUGGGGAUGACGUCAAAUCAUCAUGCCCCUUAUGACCUGGGCUACACACGUGCUA
This 508-nucleotide ribosomal RNA is filed under the name Metabacillus lacus. RNAcentral's name for it is "bacterial SSU rRNA". It matches the Rfam family "Bacterial small subunit ribosomal RNA", at positions 721 to 1227 of the family's 1533-position model. The record is from RNAcentral. Lineage: Bacteria; Bacillati; Bacillota; Bacilli; Caryophanales; Bacillaceae.